This 488-nucleotide long non-coding RNA is filed under the name Homo sapiens (human). Its description in RNAcentral is "HSALNT0297471". Lineage: Eukaryota; Metazoa; Chordata; Mammalia; Primates; Hominidae. The record is from RNAcentral.
UGAAAGUUCCCUGCAGUAGCUGACUCCCUUGAUCUGAGCCUGGCCAGAGCCUGUGGGUUGAAGACUUAGAGAACUCUCAGAAGAAGAAGAUCUUAAGACUCUGAAAAGCAAGCAAUGGAAGGAAAUACGAGGGAAAUUGACAUCAGACAUCAGAAAGUAAUUCGUGCCUAGGAUGCAGGUGGAAUCUUCUGCUUUGAAGCAUACCCUGUGGCAACGCGACCUCCCUGGGAACCUCUCCUAUCUACCUUCAGUCCCUAUGCAUCCGCUUCCUCCCAAUUCCUCUUGCCCUCACUCAUCAUAAGCAUAUGAGGAGGCUUUGGGAGGACAGUCUUAGUUGGAACAAGGAUUUUCAGGCUGUAGAGACCAGAGAAUGCUUGUCCUGGGAUGUGUGAGAGAUGGUUCCCAGAGAGACGCCUGGAAAUCAGAGACAAGGGUCAGCGAUGUUGGCAGGAGCAAAUGCAACGAAAUACACUCAAUGCUGAAACCUG